UGCCAGCCGCCGCGGUAAUACCGGAAGCCCGAGUGAUGGCCGAUAUUAUUGGGCCUAAAGCGUCCGUAGCUGGCCGAACAAGUCCGUCGGGAAAUCCACGUGCUUAACACGUGGGCGACCGGCGGAAACUGUUCGGCUUGGGGCCGGAGGACCCGAGGGGUACGUCCGGGGUAGGAGUGAAAUCCUGUAAUCCUGGACGGACCACCGAUGGCGAAAGCACUUCGAGAAAACGGAUCCGACAGUGAGGGACGAAAGCCAGGGUCUCGAACCGGAUUAGAUACCCUUGUAGUCC
RNAcentral lists this ribosomal RNA (292 nucleotides) under uncultured bacterium. RNAcentral's name for it is "partial 16S ribosomal RNA". It matches the Rfam family "Archaeal small subunit ribosomal RNA", at positions 456 to 747 of the family's 1478-position model. The record is from RNAcentral.